RNAcentral lists this long non-coding RNA (1143 nucleotides) under Pan troglodytes (chimpanzee). RNAcentral describes it as "lncRNA (ENSPTRG00000053966.1)". The record is from RNAcentral. Lineage: Eukaryota; Metazoa; Chordata; Mammalia; Primates; Hominidae.
GAUGGGGAUUUAUUUGAAUUAAAAUUCAAAGUAUUUUAAUCUGCUAGACCCUCAUGGAAGAGGCACCUUUGCAGAGUUCCCGCCAUACCCACUGCACUUCAAGCAAAAGCACAGUCACUCUUCCCAUCACUCUACAUAACACCUAAAAGAGUGUUGUGAAGAGGAAAAAAAGAAAAAUUUCACAAAAAAGAGCCAAAUGUCUAUUAACUGAGUGAAAACAUUAACUUUUAAUUUCCCGCCCAGGCUACGCUCUUCAAACCUGUGUGUUUCCCGCACCCCUGGGAAGGCGAAGGGAAGGAGCUACAUUGUCAAGUGUGGUCCAGCAAGUAAGCAGGUCCUGAGCACCAGACAUAUCACAGGCACUCACUGCUUGGACCCACCAGUCAACAGGAGCCUGCUAGAUACAGCCAUGUGCCACUCCAACCUCCCUGAGGGCAUGGCCUAUGCACUCUUUGGACCCCAAAGGAAAAUGCAAGCUCCUUUCUCAGUUGGUACAGCAAAAUCGACGAAGCUAAUAUGGAUUUUGAUCAAGCAAAUUAGCAUUGAGAUUCCAGUUCUACUAUGUAAUAAAUGGCCUUAAACAAAUUAUUUUUGUGAGUACACAUUUUCUCACUCAGAUAAAUGAAACUAAUAAUGUCUUAACGAGAAAUUAGGAGGAUUAAAAGAGAAGUAUGAAAAGUAUGAACAAUAAUCUAAUACAGAAUCAGUGGGUCUAUAUUUAAAAUUGUCUUCUUCCUUCUGUAGUAAAAACAUAAAGUUGGCCAGGCGCAGUGGCUCACGCCUGUAAUCCCAGCACUUUGGGAGGCCAAGGCGGGCAGGUCACGAGGUCAGAGGGUCGAGACCAUCCUGACUAACACAAUGAAACCCCAUCUCUACUAAAAAUACAAAAAAAUUAGCCGGGCGUGGUGGUGGGCACCUGUAGUCCCAGCUACUCGGGAAGCUGAGGCAGGAGAAUGGCGUGAACCCGGGAGGCGGAGCUUGCAGUGAGCCGAGAUCGCGCCACUGCACGCCAGCCUGGGCGACAGAGCAAGACUCCGUCUCAAAAAAAAAAAAAAAAUGUUAAAAAUAGCUAUCAGUAUCUAUUGCUAGUCUAUAUAUGCAAUUUGUUCAAGUGAUUCUUUUCAAAUUAAGAGGAAGAGGAAG